UCAAUUUUAGACUCAGAUGUGGCCC
RNAcentral lists this non-coding RNA (25 nucleotides) under Mus musculus (house mouse). Lineage: Eukaryota; Metazoa; Chordata; Mammalia; Rodentia; Muridae. The record is from RNAcentral.